CGGGUGUGGUAUCAGGGAAAAGGGGUUUACUUCUUUGACCAGAUAACACACUAGUGGCGGACGGGUGAGUAACGCGUGGAUAACCUGCCUUAUACAGGGGGAUAACAGGGAGAAAUUCUUGCUAAUACCCCAUAGGUAUGUCUGACGCAUGUUGGACAUAUUAAAGCUUUGGCGGUAUAAGAUGGGUCCGCGUCUGAUUAGCUAGUUGGUGGGGUAAAGGCCCACCAAGGCGACGAUCAGUAGCCGGCUUGAGAGAGUGGACGGCCACAUUGGGACUGAGACACGGCCCAAACUCCUACGGGAGGCAGCAGUGGGGAAUAUUGCACAAUGGGGGAAACCCUGAUGCAGCGACGCCGCGUGAAGGAAGAAGGUCUUCGGAUCGUAAACUUCUAUCAGCAGGGAAGAAGGAAGUGACAGUACCUGAGUAAGAAGCCCCGGCUAACUACGUGCCAGCAGCCGCGGUAAUACGUAGGGGGCGAGCGUUAUCCGGAAUUACUGGGUGUAAAGGGUGCGUAGGCGGUAUGGCAAGUCAGUUGUGAAACCCCCUGGCUCAACCAGGGGCUUGCAAUUGAAACUGUCAUACUAGAGUGCAGGAGAGGAAAGCGGAAUUCCUAGUGUAGCGGUGAAAUGCGUAGAUAUUAGGAAGAACACCAGUGGCGAAGGCGGCUUUCUGGACUGUAACAGACGCUGAGGCACGAAAGCGUGGGGAGCGAACAGGAUUAGAUACCCUGGUAGUCCACGCCGUAAACGAUGAGUGCUAGGUGUUGGGGUCUAAUUAGAUCUCGGUGCUGAAGUUAACGCAUUAAGCACUCCACCUGGGGAGUACGAUCGCAAGAUUGAAACUCAAAGGAAUUGACGGGGACCC
RNAcentral lists this ribosomal RNA (865 nucleotides) under uncultured bacterium. RNAcentral's name for it is "bacterial SSU rRNA". It matches the Rfam family "Bacterial small subunit ribosomal RNA", at positions 50 to 922 of the family's 1533-position model. The record is from RNAcentral.